RNAcentral lists this ribosomal RNA (1369 nucleotides) under uncultured bacterium. RNAcentral's name for it is "bacterial SSU rRNA". It matches the Rfam family "Bacterial small subunit ribosomal RNA", at positions 28 to 1381 of the family's 1533-position model. The record is from RNAcentral.
GACGAACGCUGGCGGCGUGCCUAAUACAUGCAAGUAGAACGCUGAAGAGAGGAGCUUGCUCUUCUUGGAUGAGUUGCGAACGGGUGAGUAACGCGUAGGUAACCUGCCUUGUAGCGGGGGAUAACUAUUGGAAACGGUAGCUAAUACCGCAUAACAAUGGAUGACACAUGUCAUUUAUUUGAAAGGGGCAAUUGCUCCACUACAAGAUGGACCUGCGUUGUAUUAGCUAGUAGGUGAGGUAAUGGCUCACCUAGGCGACGAUACAUAGCCGACCUGAGAGGGUGAUCGGCCACACUGGGACUGAGACACGGCCCAGACUCCUACGGGAGGCAGCAGUAGGGAAUCUUCGGCAAUGGGGGCAACCCUGACCGAGCAACGCCGCGUGAGUGAAGAAGGUUUUCGGAUCGUAAAGCUCUGUUGUAAGUCAAGAACGGGUGUGAGAGUGGAAAGUUCACACUGUGACGGUAGCUUACCAGAAAGGGACGGCUAACUACGUGCCAGCAGCCGCGGUAAUACGUAGGUCCCGAGCGUUGUCCGGAUUUAUUGGGCGUAAAGCGAGCGCAGGCGGUUUGAUAAGUCUGAAGUUAAAGGCUGUGGCUCAACCAUAGUUCGCUUUGGAAACUGUCAAACUUGAGUGCAGAAGGGGAGAGUGGAAUUCCAUGUGUAGCGGUGAAAUGCGUAGAUAUAUGGAGGAACACCGGUGGCGAAAGCGGCUCUCUGGUCUGUAACUGACGCUGAGGCUCGAAAGCGUGGGGAGCGAACAGGAUUAGAUACCCUGGUAGUCCACGCCGUAAACGAUGAGUGCUAGGUGUUGGAUCCUUUCCGGGAUUCAGUGCCGCAGCUAACGCAUUAAGCACUCCGCCUGGGGAGUACGACCGCAAGGUUGAAACUCAAAGGAAUUGACGGGGGCCCGCACAAGCGGUGGAGCAUGUGGUUUAAUUCGAAGCAACGCGAAGAACCUUACCAGGUCUUGACAUCCCGAUGCUAUUUCUAGAGAUAGAAAGUUACUUCGGUACAUCGGUGACAGGUGGUGCAUGGUUGUCGUCAGCUCGUGUCGUGAGAUGUUGGGUUAAGUCCCGCAACGAGCGCAACCCCUAUUGUUAGUUGCCAUCAUUCAGUUGGGCACUCUAGCGAGACUGCCGGUAAUAAACCGGAGGAAGGUGGGGAUGACGUCAAAUCAUCAUGCCCCUUAUGACCUGGGCUACACACGUGCUACAAUGGUUGGUACAACGAGUUGCGAGUCGGUGACGGCGAGCUAAUCUCUUAAAGCCAAUCUCAGUUCGGAUUGUAGGCUGCAACUCGCCUACAUGAAGUCGGAAUCGCUAGUAAUCGCGGAUCAGCACGCCGCGGUGAAUACGUUCCCGGGCCU